This is a long non-coding RNA of Mauremys reevesii (Reeves's turtle), 505 nucleotides long. RefSeq lists it as uncharacterized. Lineage: Eukaryota; Metazoa; Chordata; Testudines; Geoemydidae. The transcript is spliced from 3 exons. The record is from RefSeq and is a predicted model, not a curated record.
AGAAAAGAAUGCCCCCACCUUUCACGCGUCUCUCCUUCCUCCACAUCAUUCCUGAUCUGCCUCUUCUGGGAGCUAGUUGGGCCCAUGCAAAAAUUGCUAAGGGUGGCUCUGCCUAGUUCCACCCCCAAAUCCACAGCACUCCCAACUAUAUAUUGUUCAUAUGGAAGGGCUUUUGCAGGUAUUGGUGAAGGAGCAUGAGACAGCCUCACUGGCCCCUCCACAGGCUGUUUGUUUCUUCUUUGCUCCUUCCUACACCAUCCAGAGCAGACGAGCACCUAGCACGAUAUAAGUGAAUGAAAUGGAGGACUGGAAAUUUGUGUCCAACACUGAUUGAGUCUUUGCUACUGAAAAUGCCAUGGUGAUCGAUGUGAUAUAAACCUAAUUAAUAAAGAGAAAAUUACAAUCUCAUGGAUUUCUAGGAUUUAGAAUAAAAUAAUAAUGUUCCUAUUGCUAACACCUGGAUUACAUACAUACUUCUUGCUCAACUGAGCUCCAUAAACAUUAA